GGGCGCUUAGCUCAGUUGGUUAGAGCGCAGCCUUCACACGGCUGAGGUCGGGAGUUCGAGUCUCCCAGCGCCCACCA
RNAcentral lists this transfer RNA (77 nucleotides) under Actinomycetota bacterium. RNAcentral describes it as "tRNA-Val". It matches the Rfam family "tRNA". From Rfam's summary of the family: Transfer RNA (tRNA) molecules are approximately 80 nucleotides in length. Lineage: Bacteria; Bacillati; Actinomycetota. The record is from RNAcentral.